CUACACGGGUUUCUAAUCCUGUUUGCUCCCCACGCUUUCGCGCCUCAGCGUCAGUUAAUGUCCAGCAAGCCGCCUUCGCCACUGGUGUUCCUCCGUAUAUCUACGCAUUUCACCGCUACACACGGAAUUCCGCUUGCCUCUCCAUCACUCAAGAAAUGCAGUUUCAAAUGCAGUUCGAGGGUUGAGCCCCCGGAUUUCACACCUGACUUGCAUCCCCGCCUACGCGCCCUUUACACCCAGUAAAUCCGGACAACGCUCGCCACCUACGUAUUACCGCGGCUGCUGGCAC
This 289-nucleotide ribosomal RNA is filed under the name uncultured Oscillospiraceae bacterium. RNAcentral's name for it is "partial 16S ribosomal RNA". Lineage: Bacteria; Bacillati; Bacillota; Clostridia; Eubacteriales; Oscillospiraceae. The record is from RNAcentral.